Molecule: non-coding RNA, 3474 nt
Organism: Aegilops tauschii subsp. strangulata
Lineage: Eukaryota; Viridiplantae; Streptophyta; Magnoliopsida; Poales; Poaceae
Source: RefSeq, a predicted model, not a curated record
AAGAGCAAGAGGGAGGAAGUUGCCUCGAGCCCCACCCCUUCCUUAUCCUUUCCUCCAAAAUUUCACAUCGCACGCAACCUUCUCUCGUGCCGCCGCCGCCGCCGCCGCCGCCUCUUCUCUCCCCCGAUUCUCCUCGCGACUGCUCCGAGCCCCUCCUCUUCCCUGUGUCGGCUGCUCGACGCGCCACCGCUGCGGGAGAAGGUGAACACGAGGAGAUGCAGGGUGGGUGGCCUCGCCGGAAGAGGGUGACGCCGGGAACCACCGGCUGGCCAAGGACCGUGUGGGCUGGCACUUCCCCGCGGCGCCCUCCUUCCCCGACUUCGCCGUCGCCACUGCCCCCUCCCCUCCUGUCAAGGCUGAGCGUGCACAGAGUGGACGAGUCGAUCGCGGCGGAACCAGAGUCACUCGAGGCCGGGGUGCGAGAUGAUGUCCAGCAGGCGGAGGGGUGGCCAUGGGAGGAGUAGCCCACAAUGAAAUCCAUUUUCUCUUUGUGUGUGUGUGUGUGUGUUGGAUUUGGAUCGAGGAAGGGGAUGGCGUGGGGAUGAGGCGGUGGACAGAGGAAGAGGGCGAUGCUGGCUGGCUGAGCGGGCGGAUCUGGUCUCGUUUGUUCUGUAGAGCGGCCAGAGGAGCAGGCCAACAUAACACCAACGUGGUGAGCUUCCCCUCUCCACCAUCUACCCCCAGAUCUGAACAUCAACUACAAUUUAGUUAUACUAAGGACAGUACUUGUGCAAGGCGAAUUGAAAUCGAAAUUUCGCAUGUACACCUGCAAAAAGGAGAUGACCUGCAUGAGUGCAAAGGCUAAGGCGAGGUAUGUGCAAUCUUGAUGUACCACCAUGUAAAAAAACUGGAGUAUGUGCAUAAUUUUUCCUAUGGAACUAUUAUGGAAACCAGAUGCUUAUUCUUGAAAUGGUUGCUCAUAUCAAAGAAGAGGUCUCCUUUGGCGCCAUUUUGGAGUUCUUAUCCAAGUUCUGUUCUAAUUAUUACUAGAUGAUGUUGUGUUGAUGCUGUUCUUCACAGUUGAUGGCAAUAUGACGUUGACAAGUGUAGUGGUUCGGUUUGGAGAAAGAGAGAAUAAAGUAUCCCUAUACAUCAGUACAUUUGGCUACUAAUGUAAGAAUACAAAAAGUCGUUUCAGUAGCUUUCACAGGUUCAUCAAGGAGUUGGCUGUUCAAGCUGAAUCCCUCCACACCCAAAUGAUAAAAGCUUGUUUUUUUAAUGAACAAGCUAAUUUAGGAAACGUUGCUAAUCCAGGCUAAGAAAUGAGUUCUCAGAUGAGGUGUCAUGUGCCAGCAGUAAUUUUUUUAUGAGUCUACCCAAGUGUCAGAGUAACUAUCUUGCUUUUAGUUGUGAUUCUGAUUAUUUACAUUUAAGAGCUCAUUUCUUAUGACUUCUUGUGUGUAUCAUGAUAGAUUGUAUACAACUGAUCGUAGCUCAUUUUAUUAUUCGGAGACUUUCAACUAAUUACCAUAUGCUAAUAAUUCUCUUUUCUUUUUUCUUUCCUUUCCAUUUGCCAAUUACAUAGGUUCAUUAGAAAUCCAACUGUCAAUGAGAACGCCAUGAACCUCAUUUUUGGUUCAAUAAAUCGUUCAAUUUCUUUUAUUUAAUUUGCAUGUGGAAACAACAUAUGCUAAUUUUCCAUUUAUGUUUCAACAUACACAUGCGCACACAUUUGUACUGAUUAAUUGUUCGCGAAACGAUCUGCCGACAUACUCACAUGAUACUUUUAGUGCUGUUGUCUUAUUAUUUCCCUUUUACUCCGCUCUCUGUUUUUCCAUCUUGCUUCACUUUCGAUCAAUCGUCACAGCAAUUGCUUCUUACCAAUUAUUAUAAUUUUUUUUCUCAAAUGCACAGCGCAAGGAAGAUGAGCUUCCUUGUAUUUCUCGCUUGCAUGGAUUCUAUUUAUUGGAAUUAUUUGCCGUAAAAAAUGCCUUGGUCAUACAUCUAAGUACGACUAUGCUUUUAUGUACUCCCUCCGUUCCAAAAUAGAUGACCCAAUUUUAUACUAACUUUGUACUAAAGUUAGUACAAAGUUGGGUCAGCUAUUUCGGAACGGAGGGAGUAGUUGUGUGAGUGUGUGACAACAUCUCAAUAUCAAAGUUUUAGUAUCAAGGAUAAAAAACUUUGUGGAUGUACUAUUAGGAAGAGCAGUGAUUACAGCCAGUAUAGUUUGGAUAAAUGUAGGCAGUAAAACUGGAAAUUGGGCCUGCAAAAACUAAACAUAGGCAUUUUUUCAACCACUUUUUAAGUGGGCACGAUGAUCUUUGCCAAGUAUGAUAGCCAAACAAGUUGCUAAUUGCCAAGUGCUAACCAAUUUAUCUACCACCAUUGUUACCUGACGCGUUAUGCAAGGGUGGUUAGCUUGUACCUGUCAGCUUCUGCUCCCUAACAUGGAUUCUAGUUAAUGGAUCACUAUGCUUUUGAAGUGCUUAUGCACCACAUCUCAAUAUCUAAGCUUUAGCAAUAAAACCAAAUAACUACAGAAACAAUAAAAUUCUAACAGGGAAUAUAGAUGAGUGCUGCAAUGUCAAGUGUAGAACAACAGAUUCACAAGCAUGGUGCUUACCACGCUUGCACUGGUGCUUGACCAUGGUGACGGCGCCGCUAUGCCUCCAGUCCAGCGCGUCGGGCACGGCGUCGGGACAGGAAUGUGCCUUGCUUCACUUUCCGUGAAGUCACUCCUUUGUACUUGUAUUGUUUCGUUUUACUCAAGUGCCUUGAUACAAGAUACUUAAAGUAUUUCUCGAUUUUACCUCAUUCCUUAUUACUAACCCACAACCGUACUUCCGGUUAAUGUGGUCUGGACUGUCAUUCAGGUGCCAUGGAAGGACUAAACAAGAUCGCGACGGGCUCUCUUCUCAGCCUUCCUGAGUAGAAACUAAUCGGUUGUGACAGAUCCCACAAUGCUGGUUGUGGCGGGUAGGCUCAUGAACUAUGCUUAUAAGUUUGUGAUUAAUAAUGGUGGGAGUGACAGGAAGGAUGACUACCCGUUUGGUGAAUCAGAUGAAGCAUGCAACAAAAACAAACUGAAAAAGCAUGUGAUAACAAUUGAUGGCUACUGAAGCGACGUCCUGCUGGUGUACAUCAGGGACGCCUGCACCAACGAUGACGCCUUCAAGGUGCCGUGGAAGUGAAGUCAGGGCAUGGGGAUCCGGGCAAGUGCGCCAAGGAGACCGACGCGUCUUACCCGCUCAUGACCCAAGCAGUGAUUUUCCAUUGCCUCAUGUAUCAUCGACCGUCGCCAGCCUCUGGUUUUAGAUGUGAACGUGCAUGUACCAGUACUUCAUAUUGCUAUAUUUUGAUUCUGACGAAAUAACAUCACGUGGUACAAUCAAGAAAGUGGAAGGGGCGCAUCCUAUCUAGCACCGCCCUAGCUUCCUCUCAGGCGGCGCACCUGGGUGCGCCCCAACCACUAGUUUGGGAAAAAACCUACUUGCUCUGUUCCAUUAUGUAAGACAUUUUUUUGGCACUGUA